Molecule: unclassified non-coding RNA, 856 nt
Filed under: Hevea brasiliensis (rubber tree)
Lineage: Eukaryota; Viridiplantae; Streptophyta; Magnoliopsida; Malpighiales; Euphorbiaceae
Source: RNAcentral
UUAUGUUGAAAAGGUAUUAAUUUUUGAAAAUGCCAGAGCCAUGGCAUUAAUCAAGCCCCAAGAGCAUCAUCAUACAAAAUAUACAGGAGAUCCUGUGGCAUAUUUAUCAGCCAAUUACAUGGCAGAAUGCCCUGUACACUCAUUUUUUUUGGAUAGUCAACUACUCUAUUAGCAGUCCUCUUAGCAAUGGAAAACAAAGUAGAAGAAAAAGUUUGUUUCAAAUUAAUAAUAGCUGACACUGUAGCUUGGAUCUCCCAGCACUCAUUUUUUGUGUGGCCAAUAAGAGUGGAUAAGAGAAUCUCUGAAUCAGCCUCAAAGACAACCCAGUCAAUGCCCCUCUGCCUGGCAAGCUUCAAAGCUUCCAACACUUAUGAGAUCUCAUUAUUGUCUAGCCGAAUGAGGGGCAAUAGUCAAAGGCAAGUCAUCAACACUUUAAUCCUUGGGGUUCUCUCUUCCUCGGAGCAAAUUGAGAAAACUUUGUCUCCUAGUGAUUCCAAGCUCACAACAAUCAGAAGAGAAUUAAGACUUGUCUUCGUCUAUGUAAUUCGAAGCACAAGUCACAGUAAACACUAGAGCAGUCCUGAAGAAACUCUCCAUUUGCAACACCAACCAGUCGACCAAAAGAAAUUCAAAAGUACAUACAACCCAACCCAGCUAUGAGUAGCGAAACACACAAAUUAGGCAGAGACAGAGGAACCUCCCUCUAUCUGGAGGGACAGGAGAGAUUGAGAAUGACAGGAAAAAGAGCCGACGACUAUCAAACUGAAAACAGAAGAAAAUAAGAAUCUAUCUCUCAAAAGGAAAAAGAGAGAAGGUUUUGGCCUUGAACCUUCCCCUUUGAACCUUCUCCUUUGAG